AUUGAACGCUGGCGGCGUGCUUUACACAUGCAAGUCGAACGGCAGCGGGGGCUUCGGCCUGCCGGCGAGUGGCGAACGGGKGAGUAAWACRUCGGAACGUGUCCUUGAGUGGGGAAUAACGCAUCKAAAGAUGUGCUAAUACCGCAUAUUUCUYASGAAGAAGGCAGGGGAUCGAAAGACCUUGCGCUAAAKGAGCGGCCGAUGUCUGAUUAGCUAGUUGGUGAGGUAAAGGCUUACCAAGGCAACGAUCAGUAKCUGGUCUGAGAGGACRAUCASCCACACUGGGACUGARACACGGCCCA
This 302-nucleotide ribosomal RNA is filed under the name uncultured Nitrosomonas sp. RNAcentral's name for it is "partial 16S ribosomal RNA". It matches the Rfam family "Bacterial small subunit ribosomal RNA", at positions 30 to 333 of the family's 1533-position model. Lineage: Bacteria; Pseudomonadati; Pseudomonadota; Betaproteobacteria; Nitrosomonadales; Nitrosomonadaceae. The record is from RNAcentral.